GACGAACGCUGGCGGCGUGCUUAACACAUGCAAGUCGAACGGAAAGGCCUGCUUUCCCUUGUGGAUUGCGGGUACUCGAGUGGCGAACGGGUGAGUAACACGUGAGUGAUCUGCCCCCAACUUGGGUAUAAGCCUGGGAAACUGGGUCUAAUUCCCGAUAGGACUGCAGGGUGGUGCCUGUGGUGGAAAACGAUUUUCUAGUGGUUGGGGAUGAGCUCGCGGCCUAUCAGCUUGUUGGUGGGGUAAUGGCCUACCAAGGCGGCGACGGGUAGCCGGCCUGGGAGGGUGGACGGCCACAUUGGGACUGAGAUACGGCCCAGACUCCUACGGGAGGCAGCAGUGGGGAAUAUUGCACAAUGGGCGGAAGCCUGAUGCAGCGACGCCGCGUGGGGGAUGACGGCCUUCGGGUUGUAAACUCCUUUCGGCCGCGAGGAAGCCACCUGGUUGGAAGGGUGGUGACGGUAGUGGUAGAAGAAGCACCGGCUAACUACGUG
RNAcentral lists this ribosomal RNA (494 nucleotides) under uncultured bacterium. RNAcentral describes it as "partial 16S ribosomal RNA". It matches the Rfam family "Bacterial small subunit ribosomal RNA", at positions 28 to 507 of the family's 1533-position model. The record is from RNAcentral.